UUAAGCGACUAAGCGUACACGGUGGAUGCCCUGGCAGUCAGAGGCGAUGAAGGACGUGCUAAUCUGCGAUAAGCGUCGGUGAGGUGAUAUGAACCGUUAUAACCGGCGAUUUCCGAAUGGGGAAACCCAGUGUGUUUCGACACACUAUCAUUAACUGAAUCCAUAGGUUAAUGAGGCGAACCGGGGGAACUGAAACAUCUAAGUACCCCGAGGAAAAGAAAUCAACCGAGAUUCCCCCAGUAGCGGCGAGCGAACGGGGAGGAGCCCAGAGCCUGAAUCAGUGUGUGUGUUAGUGGAAGCGUCUGGAAAGGCGUGCGAUACAGGGUGACAGCCCCGUACACAAAAAUGCACAUAUUGUGAGCUCGAUGAGUAGGGCGGGACACGUGGUAUCCUGUCUGAAUAUGGGGGGACCAUCCUCCAAGGCUAAAUACUCCUGACUGACCGAUAGUGAACCAGUACCGUGAGGGAAAGGCGAAAAGAACCCCGGCGAGGGGAGUGAAAAAGAACCUGAAACCGUGUACGUACAAGCAGUGGGAGCCUCUUAAUGGGGUGACUGCGUACCUUUUGUAUAAUGGGUCAGCGACUUAUAUUCUGUAGCAAGGUUAACCGAAUAGGGGAGCCGAAGGGAAACCGAGUCUUAACUGGGCGUUAAGUUGCAGGGUAUAGACCCGAAACCCGGUGAUCUAGCCAUGGGCAGGUUGAAGGUUGGGUAACACUAACUGGAGGACCGAACCGACUAAUGUUGAAAAAUUAGCGGAUGACUUGUGGCUGGGGGUGAAAGGCCAAUCAAACCGGGAGAUAGCUGGUUCUCCCCGAAAGCUAUUUAGGUAGCGCCUCGUGAAUUCAUCUCCGGGGGUAGAGCACUGUUUCGGCAAGGGGGUCAUCCCGACUUACCAACCCGAUGCAAAACUGCGAAUACCGGAGAAUGUUAUCACGGGAGACACACGGCGGGUGCUAACGUCCGUCGUGAAGAGGGAAACAACCCAGACCGCCAGCUAAGGUCCCAAAGUCAUGGUUAAGUGGGAAACGAUGUGGGAAGGCCCAGACAGCCAGGAUGUUGGCUUAGAAGCAGCCAUCAUUUAAAGAAAGCGUAAUAGCUCACUGGUCGAGUCGGCCUGCGCGGAAGAUGUAACGGGGCUAAACCAUGCACCGAAGCUGCGGCAGCGACACUAUGUGUUGUUGGGUAGGGGAGCGUUCUGUAAGCCUGUGAAGGUGGCCUGUGAGGGUUUGCUGGAGGUAUCAGAAGUGCGAAUGCUGACAUAAGUAACGAUAAAGCGGGUGAAAAGCCCGCUCGCCGGAAGACCAAGGGUUCCUGUCCAACGUUAAUCGGGGCAGGGUGAGUCGACCCCUAAGGCGAGGCCGAAAGGCGUAGUCGAUGGGAAAACAGGUUAAUAUUCCUGUACUUGGUGUUACUGCGAAGGGGGGACGGAGAAGGCUAUGUUGGCCGGGCGACGGUUGUCCCGGUUUAAGCGUGUAGGCUGAUUUUCCAGGCAAAUCCGGAAAAUCAAGGCUGAGGCGUGAUGACGAGGCACUACGGUGCUGAAGCAACAAAUGCCCUGCUUCCAGGAAAAGCCUCUAAGCAUCAGGUAACAUCAAAUCGUACCCCAAACCGACACAGGUGGUCAGGUAGAGAAUACCAAGGCGCUUGAGAGAACUCGGGUGAAGGAACUAGGCAAAAUGGUGCCGUAACUUCGGGAGAAGGCACGCUGAUAUGUAGGUGAAGCGACUUGCUCGUGGAGCUGAAAUCAGUCGAAGAUACCAGCUGGCUGCAACUGUUUAUUAAAAACACAGCACUGUGCAAACACGAAAGUGGACGUAUACGGUGUGACGCCUGCCCGGUGCCGGAAGGUUAAUUGAUGGGGUUAGCGGCAACGCGAAGCUCUUGAUCGAAGCCCCGGUAAACGGCGGCCGUAACUAUAACGGUCCUAAGGUAGCGAAAUUCCUUGUCGGGUAAGUUCCGACCUGCACGAAUGGCGUAAUGAUGGCCAGGCUGUCUCCACCCGAGACUCAGUGAAAUUGAACUCGCUGUGAAGAUGCAGUGUACCCGCGGCAAGACGGAAAGACCCCGUGAACCUUUACUAUAGCUUGACACUGAACAUUGAGCCUUGAUGUGUAGGAUAGGUGGGAGGCUUUGAAGUGUGGACGCCAGUCUGCAUGGAGCCGACCUUGAAAUACCACCCUUUAAUGUUUGAUGUUCUAACGUUGGCCCGUAAUCCGGGUUGCGGACAGUGUCUGGUGGGUAGUUUGACUGGGGCGGUCUCCUCCUAAAGAGUAACGGAGGAGCACGAAGGUUGGCUAAUCCUGGUCGGACAUCAGGAGGUUAGUGCAAUGGCAUAAGCCAGCUUGACUGCGAGCGUGACGGCGCGAGCAGGUGCGAAAGCAGGUCAUAGUGAUCCGGUGGUUCUGAAUGGAAGGGCCAUCGCUCAACGGAUAAAAGGUACUCCGGGGAUAACAGGCUGAUACCGCCCAAGAGUUCAUAUCGACGGCGGUGUUUGGCACCUCGAUGUCGGCUCAUCACAUCCUGGGGCUGAAGUAGGUCCCAAGGGUAUGGCUGUUCGCCAUUUAAAGUGGUACGCGAGCUGGGUUUAGAACGUCGUGAGACAGUUCGGUCCCUAUCUGCCGUGGGCGCUGGAGAACUGAGGGGGGCUGCUCCUAGUACGAGAGGACCGGAGUGGACGCAUCACUGGUGUUCGGGUUGUCAUGCCAAUGGCACUGCCCGGUAGCUAAAUGCGGAAGAGAUAAGUGCUGAAAGCAUCUAAGCACGAAACUUGCCCCGAGAUGAGUUCUCCCUGACUCCUUGAGAGUCCUGAAGGAACGUUGAAGACGACGACGUUGAUAGGCCGGGUGUGUAAGCGCAGCGAUGCGUUGAGCUAACCGGUACUAAUGAACCGUGAGGCUUAACCUU
Molecule: ribosomal RNA, 2905 nt
Filed under: Escherichia coli
Lineage: Bacteria; Pseudomonadati; Pseudomonadota; Gammaproteobacteria; Enterobacterales; Enterobacteriaceae
Description: bacterial LSU rRNA
Rfam family: Bacterial large subunit ribosomal RNA
Source: RNAcentral